GACGAACGCUGGCGGCGUGCUUAACACAUGCAAGUCGAACGGAAAGGCCCUGCUUUUGUGGGGUGCUCGAGUGGCGAACGGGUGAGUAACAAGUGAGUAACCUGCCCUUGACUUUGGGAUAACUUCAGGAAACUGGGGCUAAUACCGGAUAGGAGCUCCUGCUGCAUGGUGGGGGUUGGAAAGUUUCGGCGGUUGGGGAUUGACUCGCGGCUUAUCAGCUUGUUGGUGGGGUAGUGGCUUACCAAGGCUUUGACGGGUAGCCGGCCUGAGAGGGUGACCGGCCACAUUGGGACUGAGAUACGGCCCAGACUCCUACGGGAGGCAGCAGUGGGGAAUAUUGCACAAUGGGCGGAAGCCUGAUGCAGCAACGCCGCGUGCGGGAUGACGGCCUUCGGGUUGUAAACCGCUUUCGCCUGUGACGAAGCGUGAGUGACGGUAAUGGGUAAAGAAGCACCGGCUAACUACGUG
Molecule: ribosomal RNA, 468 nt
Filed under: uncultured bacterium
Lineage: Bacteria
Description: partial 16S ribosomal RNA
Rfam family: Bacterial small subunit ribosomal RNA
Source: RNAcentral